This 643-nucleotide long non-coding RNA is filed under the name Cyanistes caeruleus (blue tit). RNAcentral's name for it is "lncRNA (ENSCCEG00000023846.1)". The record is from RNAcentral. Lineage: Eukaryota; Metazoa; Chordata; Aves; Passeriformes; Paridae.
AGCCGCAAAUUUCUUUUUGAUUUGUUCUCUUGUGAUGCCAAAAUUCAAUGUCCCUAGGCAGCUUGACUGUAUCACCCAUAAAAUGGAAGUGCAGGUAGAGAUUAUAAGUCUCCAGCCUGUAUGCAGACACACAGACAUACAGAAAAAAAAUUGGAAAAAGGCUGAAUAAUUUAAUGUUAAGUUCAUAUCUGGCAUUUUGGAGCCCUGCUGGAUAUUCCUGAGGUCCCGUCCUUAUGGAGAAAGGACUUUUAGCUGUGCCAGACAAAUGGGAAGCAAUGCACUUGUAGUAUGACUGGAUCAGCACUCCAACAGUGAAGACUUUCCCUACACUAUCACUAAACCCAGUUAGCUUAAAUGACAGGAGAUCCAAGACUCUCACAACUUUCUCCCUAACUGCAAAUCGACCAUGAACUGGAAUCUCUGGAAGUCACUUAACAGCCUGUAAUUUGUAUGAGAAACUCUCUAUUUCAAGAGAAUUUCUGCAUCUGUUUCCCCAGCAGAUACUGCCAAAAGAAGACACUUGCAGAAUUUCAGCAUCUUGCCUUCUGUUUGAAACUUCUAGGUAGAAGCACAGCCCCAUUCAACAGUUUGGACUGGAUUAGUGUUUAAAGAGCGCUUGGAGGCUACUUGAGGACAGGCACAC